This 350-nucleotide ribosomal RNA is filed under the name uncultured Bacillus sp. Its description in RNAcentral is "bacterial SSU rRNA". It matches the Rfam family "Bacterial small subunit ribosomal RNA", at positions 568 to 916 of the family's 1533-position model. Lineage: Bacteria; Bacillati; Bacillota; Bacilli; Caryophanales; Bacillaceae. The record is from RNAcentral.
UGCGUAGGCGGCGCGCUAAGUCAGGGGUGAAAGACGGUGGCUCAACCGUGGAGGGUCAUUGGAAACUGGGAGACUUGAGUGCAGAAGAGGAAAGUGGAAUUCCAUGUGUAGCGGUGAAAUGCGUAGAGAUAUGGAGGAACACCAGUGGCGAAGGCGACUUUCUGGUCUGUAACUGACACUGAGGCGCGAAAGCGUGGGGAGCAAACAGGAUUAGAUACCCUGGUAGUCCACGCCGUAAACGAUGAGUGCUAAGUGUUAGAGGGUUUCCGCCCUUUAGUGCUGAAGUUAACGCAUUAAGCACUCCGCCUGGGGAGUACGGCCGCAAGGCUGAAACUCAAAAGAAUUGACGG